UUUAGAUUUCAUAAGUAAAUCUCAUUUCCCCAAAUAACAGACAAAUCACUUAAGGGUUUGAUCCAUGUAUAUAUUUUUUUCUGACAGGAACAUGUGGAUAUGAAGGGAGCACCAAAUAAAUGCAACUUAACUGAGAAACAUCAGAAAAUUAUUUUCAUUUUUCUUCUAAUUGCUUAUCUCUCAGCUAUCAAAUCUGCUAUUGCUCCUAUAUUUCUUGCUUAAUUUAUAGAAACCAUAUUCUGCCAGGCACCUGAUUUAAAAUUCUCAGAACUCUCUUGUAUUCCAUCCAUUCCCUCAGAACCAAAAUGAGUCUUGUCAUCAAUUGCAAUAGAUUAUACUUAUGAUUUCUUUCUUCCAUUUCCUCAUGUCUAGUUCAGUCCUCUCUUCUCUUUCCUGGACGUUAUAACAACUUCGUAAGGUGUCUUCUUGUUGCUAGUCUCUGGAUUCUGUCUUACCCAGGGAUCUUGUAGCAACAUUAUUUUAAAACACUACCUUAUUCAAAAACAGGCAUCUGUAGUGAGAAAAACAGCAUAUAAGGCACAGCCUUUGUCCUCAAGGACUUUAAAUAACGUGAAGGAGAUAAACCUAUGUACAGCUAACUGUAAUCAAAGGUAGAGUUUAAUAACAGUAACACUAGGAUAUAAGCAGAGUUCUAUGGGAACACAGGAGAAGGACAGAUGAGUGAUUAAGACGAGGUUUUAUUCAUUCAAUUUACAAAUAUGUACUGACCAUUUAGUGCUGGGUACUUUUAGGUGCUGGAUAUGCAAUAUUGAACAAACCAGACAUGGAUCAUUCUUUGAUUGGGUUUAUGGUCCAGUGGUGGAGAUACAUGAUUAACAGGUAAACCAAAAUAUUACAUAACAACAAGCUACAUUCAAUUGUAGGCAAAGAUCAGGGUGCCAUGAAAGAGAGUAACAGAAAGGUCCCAGACUUUAUGUGGUCAUUUUGAAAUGAAAAGGAACUUAGGUGGGAAGAUAGGGGAAAAUAUUCUAGGCAAAUAUCCUUGUCUUUUAUUCUACUGAGAAAAUAGAAACCAAAAGUCAUGAGUACUCUUCACUUCCCAUUCCCAUACCUUAAACAUUACUGUUGAGACCAACUGAUGGGAGGGACGGGAGGCAAACAAGAUGACGCAGACACAGGGCACCCGGAGGAAAGUCUGUUAUUACUACAACGGGGAUGUUGGAAAUUACUAUUAUAGACAAGACCAUCCAAUGAAGCCUCACCAAAUCUACUACUCACAAUUUGCUGCCCAACUGUGGUCUCCACUGAAAAAUAGAAAUCUGUCAUCCUCACAAACCCAGUACUGAGGAGAUGACCAAGUACCACGGAGAUGAUUACAUUAAAUUCUUGCACUCCAUCCGUUCAGAUUACAUGUUCGAGCACAGCAAGCAGAUGCAGAUUCAACAUCGGCAAGGACUGUCCAGUAUUCGAUGGCCUGUUUGAAUUCUUGCAGUUGUCUACUGGUGGCUCUGUGGCAAGUGCUGUCAAACUUAAUAAGCAGCAGAUAGACAUCGCUGUGAAUUGGGCUGGGGGCCUGAACCAUGCGAAGAAGCCUGAGGCAUCUGGCUUCUAUUACAUUAAUGACAUUGUCUUGGCCAUCCUGGAACUGCUAACCUAUCACCAGAGGGUGCUGUGUAUUGACAUUGAUAUUCACCAUGGCGAUGGGAUGGAAGAGGCCUUCUAUACCACAGACUGGGUCGUGACUAUGUCUUCUCCUAAGUAUGGAGAGAACUUUUCAGGAACUAGGGAUCUACAGGAUAUUGGGGCUGGCAAAGGCAAGUAUUAUGCUGUUAACUACCUGCUCCAAGAUGGGAUUGACGGCAAGUCCUGUGAGGCCAUUUUCAAGCUGGUCACGUUCAAAGUAAUGGAGAUGUUCCAGUCUAGUGCAGUGCUCUUACAGUGUGGCUCAGACUCCUUAUCUGGGGACUGGUUAGGUUGCUUCAAUCUGAUCAUCAAAGCACAUGCCGGCCUAGGGUGGCGGGGGCAUGCCAAGUGUAUGGAAUUUGUCAGGAGCUUUAACCUGCCUAUGCUGAUGCUGGGAGGAAGUGUUUCCAUCAUUUGUAAUGUUGCCUAGUGCUGGACAUAUGAGACAGGUGUGGCCGUGGAUACAGAGAUCCCUAAUGAGCUUCCAUACAGUGACUACUUGGAAUAGUUUGGACCCGAUUUCAAGCUCCACAUCAGUCUUUCCAGUAUGACUAACCAGAACACGAAUAGUACUUGGAGAAGAUAAACAGCGACUGUUUGAGAACCUGAGAAUGCUGCCCCACACACCUGGGUCCAAAUGCAGGUGAUUCCAGAGGAGCCAUCCCGGAGGAGAGUGGCGAUGAGAGCGAAGAAGACCCUGACAAAUGCCUCUCAAUCUGCUCCUCUGACGAACGAAUUGCCUGUGAGAAAGAGUUCUCUGACUCUGAUGAGGUGGGAGAGGGUGGCCACAAGAACUCUUCCAACUUCAAAAAAGCCGAGAGUCAAAACAGGAUGAAAAAGAGAAAGACCUAGAUGAGAAGAGCGAAGUCACCGAAGAGGAGAAAACCAAGGAGGAGAAGCCAGAAGCCAAGGGGGUCAAGGAGGAGGUCAGGUUGGCCUGAACAGACCUCUCCAGCUCUGGCUUCUUCCCAAGUCCCCUGCCUUUCUCCACCAACACCUCAGAUUUUAUACUUUCUAUUUCUCUGUGUAUUUAUAGGAAAGUUUAUUAAAUAUAAAUAUCCCCAGGGACUAGACAGAAACCAAAGCCCUGAGCCCAGGGCAGCUAUGCUGGGUGAACUCUUCUAGGAGCUGCCUUGCCACCCAUCCUUCCAUCCUUCCCCAGUUCUUAACUU
This is an RNA transcript of Nomascus leucogenys (northern white-cheeked gibbon), 2816 nucleotides long. It is a transcript of the gene named histone deacetylase 1-like, with no coding region annotated. The record is from RefSeq and is a predicted model, not a curated record. The transcript has 2 exons. Lineage: Eukaryota; Metazoa; Chordata; Mammalia; Primates; Hylobatidae.